CAUGCAGGCGAACGAUGAAGCCCUUCGGGGUGGAUUAGUGGCGAACGGGUGAGUAACACGUGGGCAAACUGCGCUGCACUCUGGGACAAGCCCUGGAAACGGGGUCUAAUACCGGAUAUGACUGUCCACCGCAUGGUGGAUGGUGUAAAGCUCCGGCGGUGCAGGAUGAGCCCGCGGCCUAUCAGCUUGUUGGUGAGGUAGUGGCUCACCAAGGCGACGACGGGUAGCCGGCCUGAGAGGGCGACCGGCCACACUGGGACUGAGACACGGCCCAGACUCCUACGGGAGGCAGCAGUGGGGAAUAUUGCACAAUGGGCGAAAGCCUGAUGCAGCGACGCCGCGUGAGGGAUGACGGCCUUCGGGUUGUAAACCUCUUUCAGCAGGGAAGAAGCGAAAGUGACGGUACCUGCAGAAGAAGCGCCGGCUAACUACGUGCCAGCAGCCGCGGUAAUACGUAGGGCGCAAGCGUUGUCCGGAAUUAUUGGGCGUAAAGAGCUCGUAGGCGGCUUGUCACGUCGGUUGUGAAAGCCCGGGGCUUAACCCCGGGUCUGCAGUCGAUACGGGCAGGCUAGAGUUCGGUAGGGGAGAUCGGAAUUCCUGGUGUAGCGGUGAAAUGCGCAGAUAUCAGGAGGAACACCGGUGGCGAAGGCGGAUCUCUGGGCCGAUACUGACGCUGAGGAGCGAAAGCGUGGGGAGCGAACAGGAUUAGAUACCCUGGUAGUCC
This 724-nucleotide ribosomal RNA is filed under the name Streptomyces sampsonii. RNAcentral's name for it is "bacterial SSU rRNA". It matches the Rfam family "Bacterial small subunit ribosomal RNA", at positions 54 to 796 of the family's 1533-position model. Lineage: Bacteria; Bacillati; Actinomycetota; Actinomycetes; Kitasatosporales; Streptomycetaceae. The record is from RNAcentral.